RNAcentral lists this ribosomal RNA (889 nucleotides) under uncultured archaeon. RNAcentral describes it as "bacterial SSU rRNA". It matches the Rfam family "Archaeal small subunit ribosomal RNA", at positions 23 to 921 of the family's 1478-position model. The record is from RNAcentral.
CUGACUGCUAUCGGAUUGGUACUAAGCCAUGCGAGUCAUUGUAGCAAUACAAGGCGGACGGCUCAGUAACACGUAGUCAACCUAACCUAUGGACGUGGAUAACCUCGGGAAACUGAGAAUAAACCGCGAUAGAUCAUUAUGCCUGGAAUGGCUUAUGGUUCAAACAAUUUAUUGCCGUAGGAUGGGACUGCGGCCUAUCAGCUUGUUGGUGAGGUAAUGGCCCACCAAGGCUAUAACAGGUACGGGCUCUGAGAGGAGAAGCCCGGAGAUGGGUACUGAGACACGGACCCAGGCCCUAUGGGGCGCAGCAGGCGAGAAACCUUAGCAAUGUGCGAAAGCACGACUAGGUUAAUCCGAGUGAUUCCUGUUGAAGGAAUCUUUUGUCAGUCGUAAAACCACAGACGAAUAAGGGGUGGGCAAGUCUGGUGUCAGCCGCCGCGGUAAUACCAGCACCUCGAGUGGUCAGGAGGUUUAUUGGGCCUAAAGCAUCCGUAGCCGGCUUUGCAAGUCUCCGGUUAAAUCCAGCUGCUCAACAGAUGGGCUGCCGGAGAUACUACACAGCUAGGGAGCGGGAGAGGCAGACGGUAUUCUGUGGGUAGGGGUAAAAUCCAUUGAUCCAUAGAGGACCACCAGUGGCGAAGGCGGUCUGCCAGAACGCGUUCGACGGUGAGGGAUGAAAGCUGGGGGAGCAAACCGGAUUAGAUACCCGGGUAGCCCCAGCUGUAAACGAUGCAAACUCGGUGAUGCAUUGGCUUAUGGCCAAUGCAGUGCCGCAGGGAAGCCGUUAAGUUUGCCGCCUGGGAAGUACGGACGCAAGUCUGAAACUUAAAGGAAUUGGCGGGGAGCACCACAAGGGGUGAAGCCUGCGGUUCAAUUGGAUCAACGCCGG